UGUUGUUCUGACUGUUUCAAAAGCUUAUAUUGUUCGUUCAAAGUUACUUAUAAGCUCGUGAUCAACAGGCAGGACAACUA
Non-coding RNA from Caenorhabditis brenneri, 80 nucleotides. NCBI's taxonomy places the organism in Eukaryota, Metazoa, Nematoda, Chromadorea, Rhabditida, Rhabditidae. The record is from Rfam.